Adelges cooleyi (spruce gall adelgid) is the source of this 149-nucleotide long non-coding RNA. RefSeq lists it as uncharacterized. The transcript is spliced from 3 exons. The record is from RefSeq and is a predicted model, not a curated record. NCBI's taxonomy places the organism in Eukaryota, Metazoa, Arthropoda, Insecta, Hemiptera, Adelgidae.
UAUCGACACACUGACCUUAUGAAUAGUUGCAAGAAAAUCACUGUAACGCAAAAACACUAUGAAGCUUCUCUGCAUAUUAAUAACGCUUGCCUUUGUGAACGUUUCGCCGAUAAUGACAGCGCCAUAUGCAAAUUCGGUUUACCUUACAA